AUUCUUUUGCAGGGGCAAUAUUGUAGCUUAUGAGGUGCAGCCGAGCUGUGAUUAUUGUUGAUUGAAAACUUUACCCAAUACCCCACCAGGGAUUUGAAAUGCAGUCAGCCUUAGGAAAUUUUUGCCAGCUUGUCUGGAAG
RNAcentral lists this small nuclear RNA (140 nucleotides) under Sinocyclocheilus grahami. Its description in RNAcentral is "U4 spliceosomal RNA (ENSSGRG00000017711.1)". It matches the Rfam family "U4 spliceosomal RNA". Rfam says of the family: U4 small nuclear RNA (U4 snRNA) is a component of the major U2-dependent spliceosome. The structure of U4 snRNA from yeast and human has been reported. Lineage: Eukaryota; Metazoa; Chordata; Actinopteri; Cypriniformes; Cyprinidae. The record is from Rfam by way of RNAcentral.